ACCUGCAAGAGAGUUUCGUUUCUUCCCUCUCAGUCUCUAAAUAUGUUGUUUCUUUUGUUCCUUUAUUAGCAAGGCUGAGGCUUCAGUUCAACUCGCAACAGAAGUGCUGAUAACUGGACAUCAGAGUCUCAUUUCCAAACUGUACUUCCUCUGCUUUAGGUGUGAUAUUUGCUGUGGAUUAUUUUUGUAGAUAUUCUACAACAACACUUAGGGCUUCUGGGUUACAGAAGAGAUCCCUGGUGACAGUCAUCAGGCCCUGUGAUGAGAAAAACCGUGCUACACAGCCUCAGUGUCCCACGGAACACAGAGCCCAGAGCUUGAUGAAGAGAGAGAGGGACGGGAUCACGGGGUGAGUGUGCAGGACACCUCCCAGGCAUUCUCCUGGGGACCCACUUCCUCCCUGUCCUCCAGCUGUCUCCCUGGCCGGGGCUUCCACUGACUUCUAGGUGUGGCUUCUCUGCCUAUCAUCCUUGGCAGCUGUGGCCUGGCUCCCAGGGAAGCUGGCGUGGUCUCCUGGGCCUCAGGAGCUGAGGGGGGUCACUCCGACCUCUUCACUCACACGCAGGCUCAAGGUGGCCUUUGCUAAUUUCUAAACGACCAUUUGGAGCGUCACUUCCUUCAAGUGUGGCAUCCUCUAGAAGCCUUUGCCGGCUCUGAGCUGGCUCUGGAGCAGCCCAAUUGCAGGAGGGCUCCCUGCCCCACACUGGGUCACCAUCAUCCUGAAAGAGACUAUUUCAGGCUUUGAAUGUGUGUCUUCAUUGCAGAGGGGCAAAGGGGCCGCUCCGCUUGCUCUGUUCAGAGCCUCCAGGGACUCACAUAGGGACCAGGAGGAAAUCUCAGCCUCUUAGGCCAAUUCUAAGUCUCCUUCCGAUGUGCCACAGAAGCUCAACAAUUGCACUACACAGAAAAAAUAAAUAAACCUCUGUGAUGGACGCCCAUGCCAAAUCUCUUGCUCACUCCUGAACCCUAAUGUGGAGGCUGGGAGCUGCAAAAGUUAAAUAGCUCAUUCCCAGGUCCACCUGCCUCUGGGACGCUCCAAAACACAUCAUCAAAAAAUGCCGAGGAAAAAUACAGUGCACAGCUUUUGUAAAAACUUAUGAAUUUUAUAUAAGUCAGAGGAGUUGAGGCUCUUGCUCCAUCUUUCUCUUGGACUCUCUUCCUGUCUAGAAUGUGGGUGUGACUGCUGGAGCUGCAGUCAGCAUUUUAAAACCAACAGGAAAAGUCCAAUAGUUAUAGAUAUUGAGGCCCUGACAUUGUGCACUUCCAAUUUAUAUAUUGUGUGAUAGACACAGACCCAAUUGGUCUGGGCUACCAUUAUUUCAAUGUAUUUUUACUUGCAGUUGAAAGCAUUCCUAACUAGUGCUAAGUAUCUCCUUGGCAUACUUGGUUGGCAGUUACAAAGGAAUGGCAACGUCAAUGGUAACAUUCAUACAACGAAUGUUCUUCUUUGUUCAUUUAAUAAUCCAACUGAUGUUUACUGAGCACCUACUAGGUGGCAUCCCUGUUCCAGGUGAAGAGGGGACCUCAGUGGAUACAUCAAUGGAGCGCCCACAGUAAAGUGAAGACCAAGAUCAGGCAGACAAGCAGGAUCUCUUCUGUGACAGAGGAGCAUGCUGGGAAACAGGGCAGAGCUAGGGUUGAGUGAGGGGCGUGCAAAAUCCCAGGGUCCCUGCGAGGAGGUCACAAGAGCAACUUUGGAUGAUGUUCAGAGAAAUGGUCCUUGAGGAGUAGCAUUCUACCUGGGACCUGAAUGACAAGGCAGAGUCAGCCACGUGGAGACCCUAAGGGACCACGGGAGUGGAGUGACCAUUACAAACACAGAUAAAUGGAAACAGGUGUGGUCAGCAGGGUCCUGGGCAGGGGCACAGCCCAGCCAAUGAGAGGCAAGUGGAAGGGGUGAGGCCGGGGUUGGCAGGAGCUGGACCCUGGGAGGGCUUACAAAGACCAUAGUGAGGCGUUGGAUGUGGUUUUGCGACAUGGGCUCUGUUCAUUUCAGAUUUGGCCUUUUGUCCUCAAUCCUCAGAGACCCCUCACUGUCUGGUGAUGGAGUCGGUCAGGACCCGCCAAGGUUAGGUUCCACAGAGCCACAGGCCCCUGGCUACUGAUCCAUCCCCUGGGCCUGCCACUGGCCCAGUAUGAAAAGAAACAUGGAUUCAAAAGCGUCUGCCAGUGCGGACUAGUUAGUAGCUCGUGGAGACUCAGAGCUCAGAAAAUAAACCCAACCUGACGGACUGGGCCGAAUUUUAACUGCGGAAUCCCAGGCAAACCUCACAGCCUCCUCGGGCCUCAGAAGUAAAGAGACGGACCUCCCAGGCAGGAGGACUGAGGGCUAAUGUAAGGACACUCCACUGGGGCCCCUGCUGUGCGGGGGACAAGUUACAACUUACAACAUUAUUAAAUACUGUGGUCUUGGCUA
Molecule: long non-coding RNA, 2416 nt
Organism: Marmota monax (woodchuck)
Lineage: Eukaryota; Metazoa; Chordata; Mammalia; Rodentia; Sciuridae
Exons: 2
Source: RefSeq, a predicted model, not a curated record